GAAAUUUACGUGGAAAACUCCAACUAGGAGUAAAAAACCACGGGACCAACACACGAUAACAAUCCACUAUGAAAUAAAAGAUUACAAGGUGAUUUACCGAAUCCACGGACUCAAACCUCUCUUUUAUCUUCUUCGGAUUUCGCGCACACCAACGCGUUGUCCACGCCCAGCGUCCAAAUCCACGAACGCCACGUCCCGAAUCCACGAAGCCUUGAUCACGCUGAAUCCACGACGCCCACUCGAAUCCACGAGCACACUCCGUCCGGAGCAAGAACAAAACGAUUGAUGAUGAUUUAUUGCUUAGAUAAUCAUUAAAGAACCGUAGAAGAUGUUGGAUCAAUUCUCCAU
This 348-nucleotide long non-coding RNA is filed under the name Ananas comosus (pineapple). Its description in RNAcentral is "long non-coding RNA (ACOM_LNC017876)". Lineage: Eukaryota; Viridiplantae; Streptophyta; Magnoliopsida; Poales; Bromeliaceae. The record is from RNAcentral.